This 71-nucleotide transfer RNA is filed under the name Cordylochernes scorpioides. Its description in RNAcentral is "tRNA-Gly". Lineage: Eukaryota; Metazoa; Arthropoda; Arachnida; Pseudoscorpiones; Chernetidae. The record is from RNAcentral.
UGCAUCGGCCGGGAAUCGAACCCGGGCCUCCCGCGUGGCAGGCGAGCAUUCUACCGCUGAACCACCGAUGC